Apis mellifera (honey bee) is the source of this 852-nucleotide long non-coding RNA. RefSeq lists it as uncharacterized. The transcript has 3 exons. The record is from RefSeq and is a predicted model, not a curated record. NCBI's taxonomy places the organism in Eukaryota, Metazoa, Arthropoda, Insecta, Hymenoptera, Apidae.
UACGCAAUUAAUCCACUAAGAAGAAAAAUGGCAAUUCACUUGUUCGAAGAAUUGAUAAGAUAAAUACGAUGUCGCAUAAUAAUCAUCACGGAAAUCUAUCAUUAGCCCAUGGAAUAUUCGACGACCUGGUUAAAACCGGAUUGCAUAAAAGAUAGCCAGAACAAUUUUAGAUCUAAUUUCCUAAGUGGCAGUCCCGUUUCGUGUGACGAUUCAACGGACGUUUCCCGAUGAGCGUUCGAUCGGUGCGAGCGAAUCUCGCCGACACAAUCGCGUUUCCGGAGUCUUCGAUACCAAACACGUAACUAGAGCGACACGUUUUCAAUAUUCUGAUCGCGCGCCCACCAACUCCACCGGAAGUCGCUUGAUCUGCACACCGUAUUCCGGCUUCGUGUCGGCCAUCGAGCGGGAAAGACACCACACCCGAGAUCGUGUCCAUGUUUUCCGCCUGUUUCGAGAUUUUACCUGUUCAACUUCUCGCCAACUGUUCGCCUCGAUUUCUGAAACAAGCACGGAUGCAACGGUUCCGAUGUUAUGCCACUCUUCCCUCUGAUUAAUGACGUUCCAGACCAGUGGCUCGCAGAGUCUUCAGAUAAGGAUUCCAGGAUAGUUUCAACAGUCAAUAUUUUGCUGGUAUCCGUGGUUGUCGAAAGAUCCGCGGGGACCAACUCUACAAAGCUUUUGUCCUUCUAACAGGAGAACAUAAUACUCAAUGGAAGGAUGAAUAUAAGUUCUUAAAAAUCUUCUUAUUUCCUAUUCGAAUUCAAAUCAGAAGAAUGCACAGAAUUUACAUCACAAAACAUUAUAAAUUAAAUAAAUUACAAAUUUUAAAUUUCAACAUAAUUUAACACUCAU